This is a non-coding RNA of Punica granatum (pomegranate), 1564 nucleotides long. NCBI's taxonomy places the organism in Eukaryota, Viridiplantae, Streptophyta, Magnoliopsida, Myrtales, Lythraceae. The record is from RefSeq and is a predicted model, not a curated record.
AAUUACGAAAUGAUGAACAUUGAUUCCGAUUCAGUAAGCACUGAACCAAAUAUAAACAACGGAAUCGAAUUUCGAUUCCUUAUUGAGCCAAACAAAAAUGAAAAAUUGUCAUUCCAUUUCCAAUUCCAGCCCAUUCUGCCUCAUUCCGUUUCCGGACCCCCGAACUAAACGGUCCCUAAUUACUUCUGGGCGCAGAACCGAUCUAGGAGUCUUCAAAGCUACGGGCUUUUAGACCAACAUUAUUGCCAUGGACAGGCCCAAUGUUUACGGACAUCGGGCUUAUUGAUGGGCCCUGGCGUACAACAGAAGCAAAGGGCAUUUUGGUCAAAUCAAUGCAAUUCCUACGUAUCAGCUGGGGUUUGCUCGAGCCCUUCUUUCUUCUUCCUCUUCUUCAGUUCUGAAUAAGCACCUCCAAUCUACCCGUACAGGCGGCUCACGUCAAACCCUAAUUCGUUUGCUUCCUCGUCCAUACGUUCGCUGUUCGAGCGGAUUCGUGCAGUGAGUUCUCAUCUCUGGCAAUGGACUGCUUCAUCAGUUGCGAUGAAUCUUACCCACCCGAGAGUCUUUGAUUUGGGGAUGGCCUGUGAUUAUUAUUAUUAUUAUUAUUAUUAUUAUUAUUAUUAUUAUUUGCUUUCUGAUUUCUUCUUUUGCACAUGAUUUUCCUUUUCAAGUUCAAGACUUUUCAUUCAUGUCUUUCUCUGCAAAUGAUUUGAAUUUAUUAUUAUUUAAACGUGAUUCGGAGUCGGUGAUGACCGAUUAGCAAAUACCAUCAAACUCUGAAACCCUUUGAUGAUACUCAUAAUCAACUGUCUCUGAGCCAUCUUCGUCUGCUGAUUGCUAUUUCAAAAAAUCUUCAAUUUUUUCGGGUUUUUGCAAUCGGAAUUUGGGAAUGGGGACAUUGUUUGAUCAGAAAAGGCAACAAAUUAGAGUCACUGGUGCGCUCGAAUCGAUAGCGCAUUCAGCGCUGUACGUUGCCGAUAAAGACGGUAGCUGAGAUUCUUGCGUUUGCCUCUCUUUCACCGGAGGCUUACGCAUUCAGAUGCUUCCACAUCUUAAAACAAUGACAAUGUCUCAUUCUUUUUGCAAUCGUUUGAAUGAAUGAUAUAAAUUAAAAAAAAAAAUUCAUUUUUUAAUGUGAGUAAAAAUGUCGAUUGAACUGGUAAGUGGUGACCCCUUAAAGUAAGUAAAGUAAAUAUGCAGACGUGCACAGCCUCGAUCUUGGGCUAACCUGGUUGGUUAUAUACCGGAAGAAAGGCUGGAAAUGGACUCGUCAUACCGAAAGUUGGGCUGGAUAAGUAUCGAAAAUUUUGGGAUUGCUGCGGACAAUUUCAAAAUUAAGAUGAUAAGGUGCUUAGGGUCAUGAAUGCAAGCUGAAGAUGUAGGAAUUUGACAAAAUGGGGGUGUGUCUGAUGUGGAGGGAAUGAACCCUAUUUGAUAAGAAUAUGCUACUUUUCUAUGCUCAUAAUGUUCUCAUUUUUCUCAAUCGGUUGGUCGCGGUCUCCAUUGGCCAUUGCGCUUUGCACAUGGGUUUUGAAUAGUGAGGGGGCGAAUGCCUUAUUUAUUU